AUGGAAACUUGAACUACGUGCUGGCAAGAAUGUGGCUGACAACACGGUGACCUGGAUCUGCCUCCAGGGGUGCUGGCAGAGCAGGGCUCUCACGCAGGGUUAGGAGAUGCACAGAAUUCAAGGCUUCCGAGUGACAGUUAGCAGAACCUGAAUGGGCUGCUCAUCAAGGAAAAAGCCCUGAUGGAGUCCAGGAACUCAAGUCCCAGUUCUGGUUCCUUCGCCAUUCAGCUGUGCCAUCAUGGGCACAUCACUUAGCCUCACUGGAGUUCAGUUUCCUCAGUAGUAAAAUGUGGUAAGCACAUCUCAAUUCAGACCAGCCACACUCCAGUGCUCGACAGCCACCUGUGGCUCACGGCCUGUACUGGACAGUGCAGCUGGAACCCAAUGGAUGAUUUUUUAAGGUCCCACUUAUGUCCCUCACUCAUCUACAGGCUCCAUGAAGUCAGAUAUCAAACAUUUCCAUUGCUACAUUCUCCAGGCCUAAUCUGCAUCCUCCCAGAGUGGCUCUUCAGUGAACAUCUACUGAAUUGAACAGACAUGCACAGAGCAGAUGGACAGCACUAGGGACUUGUCCUCUGGCCCCAGAGGCCCAUGAAAGAGUAUCCAGGCAGGCUGGACUAUGCUGGGAAGGGGGAAGGCCUGGGCCCUCAUCGAAAGGGAAGGACCCCAAAAGGAAGAGAAACCCAUCAACAUCCUGUUAACUAAACGGAGAGAAAUGCUGUUUAGGGGAAAAAAAAAAAAACAUAAUAAAUAAAAUUCCUGAGAGAAGCUGCUAA
RNAcentral lists this long non-coding RNA (776 nucleotides) under Homo sapiens (human). RNAcentral describes it as "MIR4713 host gene". The record is from RNAcentral. Lineage: Eukaryota; Metazoa; Chordata; Mammalia; Primates; Hominidae.